This is an RNA transcript of Homo sapiens (human), 4508 nucleotides long. It is a transcript of the gene named poly(ADP-ribose) polymerase family member 11, with no coding region annotated. The record is from RefSeq and is marked validated. The transcript has 9 exons. NCBI's taxonomy places the organism in Eukaryota, Metazoa, Chordata, Mammalia, Primates, Hominidae.
GGUCUGUAAACGCUGGCUUGUGACAGGGAGGGGGAGGAGGAAGGCCUUCGUAAAGGUUGCAUCUCCGUCCCUUCGCUCCCGGGGACCCGCGGGAAAAAAAAAAAUCCAACACCCAGGCCCCGCGGCUAGCCCCUUCCCACAGGCUCUCUCCGCUCGAUUUUGUCACCGUUAUGUGGGAAGCGAAUCCAGAGAUGUUUCACAAAGCAGAAGAAUUAUUUUCUAAAACAACAAACAAUGAAGUGGAUGACAUGGACACGUCAGAUACCCAGUGGGGCUGGUUUUACUUGGCAGAAUGUGGGAAGUGGCACAUGUUUCAGCCGGAUACCAACAGUCAGUGUUCAGUUAGCAGUGAAGAUAUCGAAAAAAGCUUCAAAACAAACCCUUGUGGCUCCAUUUCUUUUACUACUUCCAAAUUCAGCUACAAGAUAGACUUUGCAGAAAUGAAGCAAAUGAAUCUCACCACUGGAAAGCAGCGCUUAAUAAAAAGAGCCCCCUUUUCUAUCAGUGCUUUCAGUUACAUCUGUGAAAACGAGGCCAUCCCUAUGCCACCACACUGGGAGAAUGUGAAUACUCAAGUACCAUAUCAGCUUAUUCCUCUGCACAAUCAAACACAUGAAUAUAAUGAAGUUGCUAAUCUCUUUGGGAAGACGAUGGAUCGCAACCGAAUUAAAAGAAUUCAGAGAAUUCAAAACCUAGAUUUGUGGGAGUUCUUUUGCAGAUACAGGUGAAGUGUUUACUCCAUCCCUGUCCUACUCUCCUUCUUUCCUCCUGAGAUUGGAAAAAGGCUCAGCUCAAGAAAAAAAGAGGUGUGCCUCAGAUUAAUGAACAAAUGCUGUUUCAUGGUACCAGCAGUGAAUUUGUGGAAGCAAUCUGCAUUCAUAACUUUGAUUGGAGAAUAAAUGGUAUACAUGGUGCUGUCUUUGGAAAAGGAACCUAUUUUGCUAGAGAUGCUGCUUAUUCCAGUCGUUUCUGCAAAGAUGACAUAAAGCAUGGGAACACAUUCCAAAUUCAUGGUGUCAGCUUGCAACAGCGGCAUCUGUUUAGAACAUAUAAAUCUAUGUUUCUUGCUCGAGUGCUAAUUGGAGAUUACAUAAACGGAGACUCCAAAUACAUGCGACCUCCUUCCAAAGACGGGAGCUAUGUGAAUUUAUAUGACAGCUGUGUGGAUGAUACCUGGAACCCAAAGAUCUUUGUGGUUUUUGAUGCCAACCAAAUCUAUCCUGAGUACUUGAUAGACUUUCAUUGAUUUCACUUCCAAAUCUCGGUGGUCAAGGAAGCUUUAUUCUUUUUUGCAGGAAGGUUUGCUCUUCAGUCAUCUAGCCACUAAAUGUUAAUUAUCUGAUACUUUUGAAACAGAUAUGAAAAAAAGUGGCCUCCAUAUAAAAAGACAUACUGACUUCAAGGUUGGUUUUUGUUGUUUUGUUUUUGCCUGUUUCUUGUAGUCUUGUUUGUUAAAAGUUGAUAUCAUUGAUGUUUUAACACAUAGGGGUGAAAGAUACCAUUCAAAAUGGAAUCAGCUGAGUCUCAACUAAUGUGGUCAUUGAGAUCUUUAAAGUUUACGUGUGUGUUAUCAGGAUAAAUGAUUUUAGUUUAAAUAGACUUAUUCGUAUAAAUGUUGAAAAAAAAUACAGACAUAAAUGUGUCCCUUUAGAGGAAUUGAUCCUUUGUAAAUUGAAUUCAGGUAGUAGUAUCAUCCACCAAUCCAUCUGUUGCUUUGUUGGUCUUCUGAAGGGGGGAUUUAAAACUCUGAAACAGUCUGAGCACCUUGAGAGAAAUCAGAAACAAGACAAUUAUUUGCAGUGCUGUCAAACAAGCCAGAAGGAGAAAAUCAAGGUAGAAUGCCCCACUUUCCAGUUGCCUUAGGAUAGCAGGCUGCAGCCUCAGACUUGAUCCUGUCAUUCUCCUCUGUCUCCCACAUCUGAAUUGAUAAUUGCUGCAAAAUGUCAUUAGCCUACACUUCAUCCAUCAGGGCUCUUGGAUUCUUACACCACGACUUGCUGUGCAAGGUGUUUAUUGCAUCUUCAAAGUGAAACUUUAAAUUAUUAUUCAAACAUUUAUUUUCCUUUUGUUUUAAAAAGAGUCCCUACAAUGAUCACUUCUAAGAUUUUUUUUUACCUUCCCCUCUGCAGCACACACAGCUAUUCAACAAUGAUUUCUAAAAUUCAUAUUUCAAAUUUGUAUCUCUCCAUUUUGAAACAUUAUAGAAAGCAUGGGAUGCUUGAGACAAAUCUGGUUUCUCCUUUGAAGUAGCUGUUGACAACCUACUCUCUUGAAAAGUUAGAUAUAAUUCUUAAUCAUGUUUAGUGGAAAUUUGUUUACCUGUUCCAUCUGUUUUGCUGUUUCAUUGUAAGGAAGAUGAGAAGUGUUGGAACAGCUUCCCUCCCCUAAAGGUAUUCUAGCAGAGGCGAGACAGCAACUUGGCGGGCAUGUUGCAUAGGAGUUAAGUACCAGAUGGGGAAUUGCCCAUGUGAUGGUGAAGAGUCUCUCACAUUGAUUUUCUUCCUUUUCUCCUCUUCUCUCCUCCUUCUCUUCUCUCCUCUUUCUCUUCUCUUCUUUCUCUUCUCUUCUGUCUUCCUCUUCCUCUUCUCUUCCUCUCCUCUUCCUCUUUCUCUCUCUUCCUUUUUCUCUUCCUCUUUCUCUUUCUCUUUCUCUUCUCUUCUCUCUCUCUUCCUUCCUUCUUUCUUUCCUUCCUUCCUUCCUUCCUUCCUUCCUUCCUUCCUUCUUUCCCUCCCUCCCUCCCUCCCUCCUCCCUUUUUCUUUUUCUUUCUUUUUUUUUGGUUUGGCAGAGUCUUGCUCUGUUGCCCAGGCUGCAGUGCAGUGGUGUGAUCUCGGCUCACUGCAACCUCCACCUCCCGGGUUCAAGCAAUUCUCUUGCCUCAGCUUCUCCAGUUACUGGGACUACAGGUGCAUACCACCAUGCCCGGCUAAUUUUUGUAUUUUUAGUAGAGGCGGGGUUUUGUCAUGUUGGCCAGGCUGAUCUCAAACUCCUGACCUCAGGUGAUCCGCCUGCCUCAGCCUUCCAAAGUGCUGAGAUUACAGGCAUGAGCCGCUGUACCCGGCCUGAUUUUCUAUGAUUCUGCCUUUAAAAGACAGCACGUAUACCAAGCCUUUUUCAGAAAGCUUUUCUCUUAACUCCUUCUAAUGCUGAAUUUUCUCUCUAUUAUCCUCACCCAAUUUUGGCUGAGAGUUAGUGUACACAAUUUAACUUCUUAGAAAAAUUCCAGUGUCUAUGCUUAUAUUGCUCACUUGAAUCAUUUGAAUUAGAAAGGGAUCUACAAAUAAUAAAAGCAAAGAGUGCAGACAGAUUAGGGAUAGUAAUUCUUAAAGUGCCAUCUAUCCCAGAUUUCCGUUAUAGACCAGCAUAUGUGUAAUUGUGCAGUGGGAGGUAAGUAGUACCCAGGACAUUGCAUGUACAAUACUUUGAAACAAAGUGGCAACAAAGAUUUCCUGGCUCAGGUAUGCACCCCAGCUGCUGGUUUAGAUGAAGUGCUGAGAAUAUUUAGAAAAAGCGCUUUAAAAAGCAUCUAGAGAUUAUCAUGAAAAUAAUUGGAGACAAAGUCACUAGGCUGCUUUGUGAGAGGCAGCAUACCAUGGCUCUAAACCCGUUCACAAAAAACAAUGUUAGAGACAUUAGGAAUUCAGGUUUUGAAAAUCUUUUUUUCGAUUUAUUUGUAAUUUACAUACCAAAAAACCACAUUAAAAUAGUCCUCCCUUCAACAUGGCUAUCUUUUUUCAAGUUUUAUAUGCAUAGCUCUCUCAGCACUUGAAUGGAAAAACUGUUACAGCAUUUGGGAGUUGUUUUUCUUUUAGACUUUGCAGAUCUUAUCUCAAGGUGACUAGGAACCCAGAGCUAAGUAUCUGUGAGGCAAUCUCUGCGAACGCUGAACUUACCUAGUUGGUUUCUAUGAAAUAUGUAGAAUGCACUGCAGUAGCCAUUGUAAGAAGGUACUAUACCGGUUUUUUGGGGCUUGUUGUUGUUGUUUGGUCUGAGAAUGUACUGCCAACCCCUCUUUUAUAAGAGAGAACUGAUUUUGAUACAUAUUUUAAAAUAUGAUAGUACAGAGUUAAUGGAUGUUAAAAUUUUAUUUCUUUGUUUUGGUAAGUAGAUUAAAUCGAGAAUCAUAUAAUCAGUACAUUUGAGAAUUAUAUAACCAGUAUAUAAUAAUACUGGACACAACCAUUUGCCAUCUUUUCCUGUUAUCAUCCCAUAGAGUGGGUGGGGAGAAUGAAUAGACAUAAACCUAGAAUAAUGAUAAAUGGUUUUUAAAACUCUAUAUUGAAUACAUUCCAGCUGAUAAUGACUUUUCUUUUUCACCUUGGUGAUAUCAGCCUCAGGGUAAAAAAAAAAGUUUCAUAAAUCUUUUAGUUAUAAACAGGAAAGUUUUAUAUUAGUGUGUCAUUUCAUUUCUAGACUGUUGAUGGUGAUGAUGAUAAAGAAUUUGGAGCCAAUUUUGAUAUAUGAAUGUAUUGCUUUUACAUGUGAUGAUUAAAGCUCUCCAUUAGCAGUU